GACGAACGCUGGCGGCGUGCUUAACACAUGCAAGUCGAACGGGCCUGUCUUCUUUUUUGGGGGUGGGUUGAGUGGCGAACGGGUGAGUAUCACGUGAGUAACCUGCCCUUCGGUCCUGGAUAACCGCUUGAAAGGGCGGCUAAUACGGGGUGGUCCGGUUGGUCCGCAUGGGCUGGUCGGGAUAGAUUCACUGUGUUUGGUGUUUCGGCGGGGGUUGGGCUCGCGGCCUAUCAGCUUGUUGGUGGGGUGAUGGCCUACCAAGGCGGUGACGGGUAGCCGGCGUGGGAGGGUGGGCGGCCACACUGGGACUGGGAUACGGCCCAGACUCCUGCGGGAGGCAGCGGUGGGGGGUAUUGCACAGUGGGCGGAAGCCUGAUGCAGCGACGUCGCGUGAGGGAUGGAGGCCUUCGGGUUGUGAACCUCUGUUUCCGGUGGUGAAGGCCCUGUCCGUGUGGUGGGGUUGACGGUAGCCGGGGAUGAAGCGCCGGCUAACUACGU
RNAcentral lists this ribosomal RNA (498 nucleotides) under uncultured bacterium. Its description in RNAcentral is "partial 16S ribosomal RNA". It matches the Rfam family "Bacterial small subunit ribosomal RNA", at positions 28 to 506 of the family's 1533-position model. The record is from RNAcentral.